UCUUAUCAAGAGCAGGUGGAGGGAAAUGGCCCGAUGAAGCCCAGCAACCGACCGUAAUUCCAUCGCGAGAUGGGGCCCUGUAAGGGGCCGUGGAACAACCACGAAGGCACGGUGCUAAUUCCAGCAAAACGAAUGUUUUGCAAGAUAAGA
This 150-nucleotide non-coding RNA is filed under the name Risungbinella massiliensis. RNAcentral describes it as "SAM riboswitch (S box leader)". It matches the Rfam family "SAM riboswitch aptamer (S box leader)". Rfam says of the family: The SAM riboswitch is found upstream of a number of genes which code for proteins involved in methionine or cysteine biosynthesis in Gram-positive bacteria. The SAM riboswitch acts at the level of transcription termination control. The predicted structure consists of a complex stem-loop region followed by a single stem loop terminator region. Lineage: Bacteria; Bacillati; Bacillota; Bacilli; Caryophanales; Thermoactinomycetaceae. The record is from RNAcentral.